AUUGAACGCUGGCGGAAUGCUUUACACAUGCAAGUCGAGCGGCAGCACGGGGGCAACCCUGGUGGCGAGCGGCGAACGGGUGAGUAACACAUCGGAACGUACCCUGUCGUGGGGGGAUAACGAGUCGAAAGAUUCGCUAAUACCGCAUACGACCCGGGGGUGAAAGCGGGGGAUCGCAAGACCUCGCGCGACUGGAGCGGCCGAUGGCGGAUUAGCUAGUUGGUGGGGUAAAGGCCCACCAAGGCGACGAUCCGUAGCGGGUCUGAGAGGACGGCCCGCCACACUGGGACUGAGACACGGCCCAGACUCCUACGGGAGGCAGCAGUGGGGAAUUUUGGACAAUGGGGGCAACCCUAGAUCCAGCCAUUCCGCGUGAGUGAAGAA
Molecule: ribosomal RNA, 384 nt
Filed under: uncultured bacterium
Lineage: Bacteria
Description: bacterial SSU rRNA
Rfam family: Bacterial small subunit ribosomal RNA
Source: RNAcentral